AUGAUUCGACUACAAGUGAUAGUUUUAAGUUUGGCGAUUAUUUGUUCCUUCGCGUUCGUCGCUGGCAAGGAUACGCGCGAAAGUUCCCCGCAGGGAAAUGGAGACAAUCAGGAAACUGGACCGGGGAGUCCGGUGUUACAGUUGCUGUCGCAGAUGAUGAGCCCGAACGCCAAAAGCGCCAGCCUGAAGGAGCUUCAAAAGAAGGUCGAGUCGGACAGGACGCAUAUCCAAAAGAUUCCUCCCAGGAAUAGGGAGAAGCAGGAGCUCGAGGAGAAGAAGAAGGAACUUGAAGAGAAAGAGCGGGAGUUGGAGGGAAAUUUCGUCGUGUCACCGGACUUUGAUAAAUAUGCUUACAAGAGCCCAAAACGGUCGUCUGUGACAUACAGCAUUGACGCAACAUGCCAACUGGCGACAUGCUACGAGGACGGAAGACCCUUCCUUAAAAUUCACGACUACUGCUACAAAGGUAUCAGCGAUCUGCAAGCUGCCUGCGAGGAGCGCUACCUAUCGGCUAGAAAUCGCAGAGCUGGCAAGGAGAUGUCGGCACCAAGUUCAAACCCAACAAUCCCAACAAAUGGAGAAACCUGCUCUAACAUUGGAGCCACAUGGAAAGAUAACUGCAACACAUGCGUCUGUUUGGCGGUGCGUAUACCCGCCUGCACGCGCAUGAGCUGCCCGACGCCAGAAACGCAUCUGAAUGUCCCACCCUCCAAGGCUUCCAACCAAAUGGACAAAAAUCAAACACGAUGUACAAUAAUCAGAAGCCGGAAGGCUUGCUUCCCAUCCAAAACAGCUUUAAAGAUGAGCAACUUGCCAAGCACUUAAAAAAUGUUUAGAGAUACCGUUUAAAGCACGUUAUCACGGAGGAAGCUUCUACCAGGCCUCUACCUUAGACUUUAAUGUAGAGGUCUUCAGGGUCUCUUUAUUUACCUUAUAGCCAUUGUGUUCGCUUCGAGGUUGAGCGAAAAUGUUGAACAUCAUCAAACUCUCCAUGGGCAAACGACAAAGAAAAGAGAAGAAGAGUAUGAUAUUUAAUUGCUUGAUUUGGUUUCACAAUGGUCGCGAUUUUUAUGGAUAAUAACAUGCCUAUAUUAACCUAGACAGUACCUAACCUAGAAACCUGUUUUUUCUCGUUAACCUAGAAAUUGGCAUUAAUGAGUAAAAGAGACGCCGCUUUUAGGUGAUACACAUGAUGGAUUUAGAUUGGACGUCAAUGAUUACAGAUUAGACACGCUUACUUUUGUAAAAUUUUCUUCUGAUGAUGUGGAUUAGAUUGUAAGUACAGCGUAAGUGCUACGCACCUUGCAGACGAAAGACUCAUUUAAUCAUUGUAGAUACUUCUCACUGUUAAUUUAUUUAUAUACCUAUAAGAUAAACAAAUGUAUUUCUAUUUUCAUGUUAACAGUCAUUUUUUAUUGCAUCAGAGAAUAUUAUUCUGAUUAUUUUUCCAAAUUUUCAAAAUUAAAAGCAGAAUGUUUUGUAUUCCAUUAUGCCUCCUGAAUAAUUUUUGUCAUAGCUGAGAAAAGUUUCUACAGCGGGAAUAAAAUGCUAUGACCUACAGACGCUAACAAGCAAGUUUUAGUAAUUAGGGUUACAUGUCAGUUUACCUACAAACCUUUGACCUACGUGACGUUUUACCUACAGCUUUUUACCUACGACAUUUAAACCUACAACAUUUUUUCUACAAAGCAAUUUGCCUUAAAAGCAAUUUACCUGCAUUUUUUUUGUCUACGAAACAUUUCUCCUACAAUUUAUCAAUUUCACCUACGAGUGAAAUUGCUCUCCAGCAUAGCUGCCAGAUUGUAUGAAAAAAUUUGUUUUCUUUAAAUUGAGUUAAAUGGGAAGGCUAAAUGGGAAUGGCUAUUUGGUCGCUAUGGUGUACAGCUGUAAGAGAAGCCCCAAGUUUGUUUCUGUGGCAACAAAAGCAUAUAUUUUGGGGCACUUUUUCCAGUUUUUUUCUAACCUUAUUUUUUCUUAACUUUUUUUUUCUAAAAAUUUUAGUUUAAACUUAAUUAAAAUGGCAAAGUUAAUAACAACCACGCGAGGGGGGAGGUGUUUAGCCGUAGACGGGUUUGUGUAUCACAAGCAAAUCUCACGUCAGUUCAGAACAUAUUGGCAUUGCGCUCAACGGAAAGAAUUUUGCCGAGGCCGUGCAGUCAGUACAAACAACCCGCUGACAGUCGUCAAGCAGACUACUCACAAUCACGCACCAAACCAGGACGCGGUGGCUGCCCGAGAAGUGGUUAACAAUCUUAGAGGUUUAGCGGCAGAGCGCCCAGAUGCAGCUCCUACACUAAUUUUGAGGGAUGAGCUCAGUCAAGUGACAUCAGUCGUCACAGCUCAACUUCCACUACGAAGUUCUCUGAGAAGAACAAUGAACCGGAGACGGCAAGCCGAGCUCCCGCCAAAUCCUGCCAAUCCACAAGAGUUAAACAUUCCUCCUGAGUAUCGCACCACACUGAAAAAUGAGCCCUUCCUCUUGUACGAAAAUUUAGAUGACGAUGAUGCCUCUACUAUCCUAAUUUUCGCUUCAGACAGGAAUUUGAGGGUUCUUGGAGCUUCACAGACCUGGUUCAUGGACGGAACUUUUAAAGUCACACCAAUUAUCUUUCAUCAACUUUUUAC
RNAcentral lists this long non-coding RNA (2625 nucleotides) under Bemisia tabaci. Its description in RNAcentral is "lncRNA ENSSSA1NGG008478". Lineage: Eukaryota; Metazoa; Arthropoda; Insecta; Hemiptera; Aleyrodidae. The record is from RNAcentral.